AAAGUCGAAGGUGUGAUGCGGACCGAAAAAGAGUAGGGAAGCUGUUAAGCAAGCCGUCAAGAAAAGCUGCUAUUGUUUCAUUAUGGCCCGUACCGUAAACCGACACAGGUGGAUGGGGAGAGAAUCCUAAGGCCGGCGGAAGAAGUAUUGUUAAGGAACUCGGCAAAAUGACCCCGUAACUUCGGGAGAAGGGGUGCCUGCGGGAGCAGGCCGCAGAGAAGAGGCCCAAGCAGCUGUUUAGCAAAAACACAGGUCUAUGCAAAACCGAAAGGUGAGGUAUAUGGGCUGACGCCUGCCCGGUGCUGGAAGGUUAAGGGGAGUGGUCAGGAAACGAAGCCACGAACUUAAGCCCCAGUAAACGGCGGCCGUAACGAUAACGGUCCUAAGGUAGCGAAAUUCCUUGUCGGGUAAGUUCCGACCCGCACGAAAGGCGUAAUGAUUUGGGCGCUGUCUCGACAAUACAUCCGGUGAAAUUGAAGUGCCAGUGAAGAUGCUGGCUACCUGCGCCAGGACGGAAAGACCCCAUGGAGCUUUACUCCAGCUUGAUACUGGGACCCGGUAUUGCAUGUACAGGAUAGGCGGGAGGCUAGGAAAUGUGGACGCCAGUCUGCAUGGAGCCGCUGUUGGGAUACCACCCUUGUGGUGCUGGGUUUCUAACCAGAGGCCGUGAACCGGUCUGGGGACAAUGUCAGGUGGGGAGUUUGACUGGGGCGGUCGCCUCCGAAAGGGUAUCGGAGGCGCCCAAAGGUUCCCUCAGAAUGGUUGGAAACCAUUCGAAGAGUGCAAAGGCAGAAGGGAGCUUGACUGCGACACCGACGGGUGGAGCAGGUACGAAAGUAGGGCUUAGUGAUCCGGUGGAAUUUAAGUGGGAAUGCCAUCGCUCAACGGAUAAAAGCUACCCUGGGAUAACAGGCUGAUCACUCCCAAGAGUUCACAUCGACGGAGUGGUUUGGCACCUCGAUGUCGGCUCAUCGCAUCCUGGGGCUGAAGUCGGUCCCAAGGGUUGGGCUGUUCGCCCAUUAAAGCGGUGCGCGAGCUGGGUUCAGAACGUCGCGAGACAGUUCGGUCCCUAUCCGGCGUGGGCGUAGGAUAUCUGAGAGGAGCUGUCCUUAGUACGAGAGGACCGGGAUGGACUGACCUCUGGUGUACCGGUUGGCGAUCAACGCCACGGCCGGGUAGCCAUGUCGGGACGGGAUAUACGCUGAAGGCAUCUAAGCGUGAAGCCCCCCUCAAGAUGAGAUAUCCCAUUCGAAAGAAGUAAGACCCCUUGAAGACGACGAGGUUGAUAGGGCAGGGGUGGAAGUGCUGUAAGGCAUGGAGCUGACUGCUACUAAUCGGUCGAGGGCUUGAUCAA
This 1354-nucleotide ribosomal RNA is filed under the name metagenome. Its description in RNAcentral is "bacterial LSU rRNA". It matches the Rfam family "Bacterial large subunit ribosomal RNA", at positions 1551 to 2925 of the family's 2925-position model. The record is from RNAcentral.